GAUCAAGAACGUAGCGAAAUGCGAUAAGUAAUGUGAAUUGCAGAAUUCAGUGAAUCAUCGAAUCUUUGAACGCACAUUGCGCCCGCCAGCAUUCUGGCGGGCAUGCCUGUUCGAGCGUCAUUUCAACCCUCGAGCCCCCCCGGGGGCCUCGGUGUUGGGGGACGGCACACCAGCCGCCCCCGAAAUGCAGUGGCGACCCCGCCGCAGCCUCCCCUGCGUAGUAGCACACACCUCGCACCGGAGCGCGGAGGCGGUCACGCCGUAAAACGCCCAACUUUCUUAGAGUUGACCUCGGAUCAGGUAGGAAUACCCGCUGAACUUAAGCAUAUCAAUAAGCGGAGGA
RNAcentral lists this unclassified non-coding RNA (343 nucleotides) under soil metagenome. Its description in RNAcentral is "partial contains 5.8S ribosomal RNA, internal transcribed spacer 2, and large subunit ribosomal RNA". The stretch from base 1 to 120 matches the Rfam family "5.8S ribosomal RNA", at positions 35 to 154 of the family's 154-position model. The record is from RNAcentral.